This 253-nucleotide ribosomal RNA is filed under the name uncultured bacterium. Its description in RNAcentral is "partial 16S ribosomal RNA". It matches the Rfam family "Bacterial small subunit ribosomal RNA", at positions 524 to 776 of the family's 1533-position model. The record is from RNAcentral.
UACAUGUGGGGCAAGCGUUGUUCGGAAUUACUGGGCAUAAAGGGUGCGUAGGCGGUGCGGUGAGUCAGUGGUGAAAUCCCGUGGCCCAACCAUGGAACUGCCAUUGAUACUGCCGCGCUGGAGUGCGUGAGGGGUAGCUGGAACGAGUGGUGUAGCGGUGAAAUGCGUAGAUAUCACUCGGAAGGCCAAAGCCGAAGGGAGGCUACUGGCACGCAACUGACGCUGAGGCACGAAAGCGUGGGGAGCAAACAGG